Molecule: ribosomal RNA, 422 nt
Filed under: uncultured bacterium
Lineage: Bacteria
Description: bacterial SSU rRNA
Rfam family: Bacterial small subunit ribosomal RNA
Source: RNAcentral
GGCCAGCAGCCGCGGUAAUACGUAGGUGGCGAGCGUUAUCCGGAAUUAUUGGGCGUAAAGAGCGCGCAGGUGGUUGAUUAAGUCUGAUGUGAAAGCCCACGGCUUAACCGUGGAGGGUCAUUGGAAACUGGUCGACUUGAGUGCAGAAGAGGGAAGUGGAAUUCCAUGUGUAGCGGUGAAAUGCGUAGAGAUAUGGAGGAACACCAGUGGCGAAGGCGGCUUCCUGGUCUGUAACUGACACUGAGGCGCGAAAGCGUGGGGAGCAAACAGGAUUAGAUACCCUGGUAGUCCACGCCGUAAACGAUGAGUGCUAAGUGUUGGGGGUCGAACCUCAGUGCUGAAGUUAACGCAUUAAGCACUCCGCCUGGGGAGUACGGUCGCAAGACUGAAACUCAAAGGAAUUGACGGGGGCCCGCACAAGC